AUUGAUGCUAAGAGAAUGGAAUACAGGAAAAAACUUUUUUUUAAAUUAAAAAUUGAAAUUUUUUUAAUUUGUGCAGAAACAAUUAUUAAUAUUAAGGACAAGAAGACCCUAUGAAUUUAUUAAAUUUUAUUUAAUAUGUAAUUACUAUUAGAAAAAUUUUGGCUGGGGCGGCUAAAAAAUAUUUUAAACUUUUUAAAAAUAAAAUGAUCCAUUAUUAAUGAUUAUAUGUUAAAUACUCUAGGGAUAACAGCGUUAUAUUUUUUGAUAGAUCAUAUUGACAAAAAAGUUUGCGACCUCGAUGUUGGAUUAGGAUACUUUUUUAAUGCAGACAUUAAAAAAAGAAGUUUGUUCAACUUUUAAUUUCCUACUUGAUCUGAGUUCAGACCGG
This 388-nucleotide ribosomal RNA is filed under the name Rhipicephalus sanguineus (brown dog tick). RNAcentral describes it as "partial 16S ribosomal RNA". The stretch from base 243 to 388 matches the Rfam family "Bacterial large subunit ribosomal RNA", at positions 2473 to 2619 of the family's 2925-position model. Lineage: Eukaryota; Metazoa; Arthropoda; Arachnida; Ixodida; Ixodidae. The record is from RNAcentral.